GUGGGGUUUAUAGGAUCACGGAGGUGGUGUUGUGGUUGUAUAUAAAACUUAUUAGGUAGAAGUGAUGGGGGCUGCUGCAUUGGUGGGUGGAUAGAGGCGGUUGAGGUGACAGUGGUUUUAAUGGCGGGUGUACAUUUGCCAAUACCUUUCAAGCAUUUAAGCACCAUUGUUUAGUUCUCAAUGGAUAACUUCUCAAGCACAGAGAGUAUUUUGGAUUCAGAGAGUAGCAAAAACUGCGGUCAUUCUCUAUAUGGCACAAUAAGUUGAAUGAGAAUUCAAUCAAAUGGCUGGGGUUUAGAGACGCUCUUAGUGGCCAGAUGCUUUAGGAAAAUUGGAAUCCGUCUCAGAUGUUACCAUGGUAUUUUUUUGAUACCCAAGAUAGGACUAGCGAAGUGCCAAAGAGGGAAAUAGAAAUCCAAAAUGCAAAGUUUGUCGGUAUUUUGAGAUGAAGGUACUAGAUAAUCACGUUGUUUAUCUAUAGCAGCUUCUUUUGCUUUUUGCUGAAGUAAAUGGAUCGGCAUUAAGGUAACUUUGUGGGAAGAAUGCUGCAUAUCAGUAGUGGGGGAAAUGAAGAUGGAAAUGUGCCCGUAAUUGUUAUAAUAACUGCAACGUUCGUAAUCGAGUUUCGAGGUACACUUGGAUUGGCCACAAACACUGCGUUCAAGGUAUUGGUCAAUCUGGCCAUAUCUGAGGUCAAUGAAUUAAGAAAAAAUGCAAGUAUGCAUCAUCUGAAGUGGAAAGUGUAAAUAUUAAUAAAUGCACACUGCAAAGAUAAUUAAUUUAUUUAGGCUUGGUCCAGAAAGACUAUGAGAUUUCAAAAGAUCGACCUGGCCCUGCAAGAUGAUCCCUCCGAGGAUAUAAAGACUAUAUAGGAAGCGACUGAUAUGCUGCAGUAUGAUGAUAACAAGAUUUUCAUGCAGGAGUAAUUCACUGAGAUAUAUUUGAUUUGAUUCGAAAGACGGCGGAAAAGUUGAUGAGGUGCAUGGAACACUGCUGCGAGGUAUGGGGUAUUGGUAUGAAUCGUAUGUUUGGAUGGAUGGAUAUUGUACUAUGGAAUCAUGCUCACGAAGUUGUUAUAUAGUCUAAUUGAAGGUCCACAAAGUGGAACCAGAAGAAAGUUGGUUUAAGAAGAUGGUAGGCUCAAAAACCUACAAUAAUAAUACUGCAAGUGCACAGUGUCUAACUAGGAGAACAAUGGAAAGUACAGGUCGUUCCCAUGAGGAGU
Papaver somniferum (opium poppy) is the source of this 1225-nucleotide long non-coding RNA. RefSeq lists it as uncharacterized. The transcript has 5 exons. Lineage: Eukaryota; Viridiplantae; Streptophyta; Magnoliopsida; Ranunculales; Papaveraceae. The record is from RefSeq and is a predicted model, not a curated record.